This 253-nucleotide ribosomal RNA is filed under the name uncultured bacterium. RNAcentral describes it as "partial 16S ribosomal RNA". It matches the Rfam family "Bacterial small subunit ribosomal RNA", at positions 524 to 776 of the family's 1533-position model. The record is from RNAcentral.
UACGAAGGGGGCUAGCGUUGCUCGGAAUUACUGGGCGUAAAGCGCACGUAGGCGGCUUCUUAAGUCGGUGGUGAAAUCCUGGAGCUCAACUCCAAAACUGCCUUCGAUACUGGGAAGCUCGAGUCCGGGAGAGGUGAGUGGAACUGCGAGUGUAGAGGUGAAAUUCGUAGAUAUUCGCAAGAACACCAGUGGCGAAGGCGGCUCACUGGCCCGGUACUGACGCUGAGGUGCGAAAGCGUGGGGAGCAAACAGG